CCGACAACACUGGGAUAGCCUUUCGAAAGAAAGAUUAAUACCGGAUGGCUCCGCAUGGGUAAAGAAUUUCGGUUGUCGAUGGGGAUGCGUUCCAUUAGGCAGUUGGCGGGGUAACGGCCCACCAAACCUACGAUGGAUAGGGGUUCUGAGAGGAAGGUCCCCCACAUUGGAACUGAGCCACGAUCCAACCUUUACGGGAGGCAGCAGUGAGGAAUAUUGGUCAAUGGACGAGAGUCUGAACCAGCCAAGUAGCGUGAAGGAUGACUGCCUAUGGGUUGUAAACUUCUUUUAUACGGGAAUAAGUGAGCCACGUGUGGCUUUUUGUAUGUACCGUAUGAAUAAGGAUCGGCUAACUCCGUGCCAGCAGCCGCGGUAAUACGGAGGAUCCGAGCGUUAUCCGGAUUUAUUGGGUUUAAAGGGAGCGUAGGCGGGUUGUUAAGUCAGUUGUGAAAGUUUGCGGCUCAACCGUAAAAUUGCAGUUGAUACUGGCGACCUUGAGUGCAACAGAGGUAGGCGGAAUUCGUGGUGUAGCGGUGAAAUGCUUAGAUAUCACGAAGAACUCCGAUUGCGAAGGCAGCUUACUGGAUUGUAACUGACGCUGAUGCUCGAAAGUGUGGGUA
This 620-nucleotide ribosomal RNA is filed under the name uncultured bacterium. Its description in RNAcentral is "bacterial SSU rRNA". It matches the Rfam family "Bacterial small subunit ribosomal RNA", at positions 129 to 767 of the family's 1533-position model. The record is from RNAcentral.